Molecule: long non-coding RNA, 2029 nt
Organism: Leptidea sinapis
Lineage: Eukaryota; Metazoa; Arthropoda; Insecta; Lepidoptera; Pieridae
Exons: 5
Source: RefSeq, a predicted model, not a curated record
GACUUAAAUAAGCACACGUACUUGUUAUUGCUAUAACACUUGACAUCUGUGCAAAAUGCUUUUAAUACAUUUCCUUUCAUUACUUCUUUGGCUUACCUUUCAAAACAAUGCAGUUAGUGACUGUAUCUCAAAUAUGGAUGGAACGUGUUCGGAUUACCACACUUAUAACGAUAUUUGUAACAUGUUGAAAGUUUUACCCCGGCUGUUCUAUAUAAAAACAAAACGCUACGAAGCAUGCAAAACUAAAGAUCCGAUACAAGUAUCGAAAAACAAAGUAUUGAAUAUAAAAAAUGAGUAUUAUAGAAGACAAAGGUUCGAAACAGAAUCGAACACAGAUGAUGUUGUAAAAAUAUAUUUACUUCAACCCAUGCAGAGCAAUGAACAAGAUGUGCCCGAUGAAACCGAAGUAUCUGAUAUUAUGUAUUACAUACUAACUGGGUUAUCUCAACGACGGGGACGGAACAGACUCAGUGGAAGUAAGAACUUGUUUGAACGAGGACAUCCAGCGACUUCCGAGCGUAAGAAACCCGGAUAUACAAUUGCAAUUGACAAUAGUGGUUCGGUUACGGAUCAAAAUCAUUUCCAUAAAGUGUACGCGCAUAAGGAAUUCCCGAGCUAUACCAUGGAUUCAAGAUGGCUGUACUUAUCUAGGCACAAUUAGUUUCAGGAUGGACUCGAUAGAAGGAUAUUACCAAGGCCCGGGAAGGACGCUUCGAGCCGAAAGCGAUCGGCCCAUCACGUUGCCUCCCCCCGUCUCCAAGGUGAUUGAAAAACUCCAGCUGUCUCUCCCUCUCACUACACGUACAACUGCAACACUACAGCUAUCCAGAGUACUGCACUACCUCACGGCAGCCCACAAUAAGCGGGAGUGUGCCGUCGCAGUAUUUCUGGAUAUGGAAAAGGACCGUGUUUGGCUUGGAUUGACCUAUUAAGUCUGCCAGACUUCAGCCCCCCGACCGUUGGUCAAGACAGUCGCCAGCUUUCUUAAAGAUCGUCAGUUUCGAGUACGGAUAGCUGCCUCCUAGGUCCUCAGCUAGGGUGGUAGCUGUACGACUACUACUACGCAUUGCUUGGUACGUGAGGAACACCACGAUACAGAGGGACUUAGGAGUAGAGAGCCUGGACGACUUCAUUAGGCGCCUCGCCGUCGCCAUGUUCACGCGAGCCUCUGGCACCCGCGGCCACCUGACGGCCACCUGACGGCCACCUGACGGCCACCUGACGGCCACCUCUUACCGCGGGAUCUUCUGCCGCGGGUUGUUGAACAGAAUAAGGACGUACUCGAUCCGCUACCCGGCUGAUCACUCCGUAUUUUGUCACGAGGCUCGAUAGCAAGGGCCGCUUUUAGCUACAUUUUUUACCAAAAAGAAGAAGACAAUAUCAAUGGGAAUCAUCCAUUUUCUCACCCGAAGACCUGAGCAUAUCCAUGUCCAGCGGUAGAAAUUUGGGGCGUAGGGCAUAUUGCCAUGAACAUCAUUUUCCACGCGCCUACGGCGCGCGUGAACAGACUGAUUAGUCUACUUAAAAAAUAAGUAAGUUUUACAUAUUAAACCCAAGUGGUCACAGUAACACACACAUUGGAAAAUCAAAAUUGGUCAUUCAAUGUCGGGCUGUUUGUUGUACAUUCUAAGUUUAUAUUAGUAUGGAUUUUUUUUCUGAAUUUAAAUUAUUAUUAUUAUUAAUUAUUUUCCUUUUAAUUGUGAUUAUGACAUAUCUUAAGUUUUAAACUGUAAUUUAAUUUAUAUCAAAUAAAACUCAACAAUGUUAUGUAAGUAAUUUAAUUUAAGUUAAGAUUGUUUGUAUAUCUAUGGGUAAUGCCUGAAAAUAAAAUGAAAAAAAAUAAACAAAAAAUGUUGUCACCUAUUAUAUCAUUAAUUAAUUUACGUUAUACAGAUAGAUAUAUACUGAGAUCCGUUCGUUUGUCAUUUAGAUUCGUUUCUACGAUACUAAUGGAUGUAAAUGGACACAUCAGUUCUCAUAAACUGUUAUUACGAUGGCAUACGGCCCGUGUGGGUGUAAUCUUGUAUUC